This 75-nucleotide transfer RNA is filed under the name Cordylochernes scorpioides. Its description in RNAcentral is "tRNA-Thr". Lineage: Eukaryota; Metazoa; Arthropoda; Arachnida; Pseudoscorpiones; Chernetidae. The record is from RNAcentral.
UGCCCAGGAAUGAGAAUCGAACCCACAGUGUUCUGCUUACCGGGCAGAUGCCAUGUCCACUAGGCUACCCUGGAC